This 439-nucleotide ribosomal RNA is filed under the name uncultured bacterium. RNAcentral's name for it is "partial 16S ribosomal RNA". It matches the Rfam family "Bacterial small subunit ribosomal RNA", at positions 339 to 795 of the family's 1533-position model. The record is from RNAcentral.
CUACGGGUUGCUCCAGUGGGGAAUAUUGCACAAUGGAGGAAACUCUGAUGCAGCAACGCCGCGUGGAGGAUGACACUUUUCGGAGCGUAAACUCCUUUUAUAUAGGAAGAUAAUGACGGUACUAUAUGAAUAAGCACCGGCUAACUCCGUGCCAGCAGCCGCGGUAAUACGGAGGGUGCAAGCGUUACUCGGAAUCACUGGGCGUAAAGAGCGUGUAGGCGGAUAGAUAAGUCAGGAGUGAAAUCCUAUGGCUCAACCAUAGAACUGCUCUUGAAACUGUCUAUCUAGAAUAUGGGAGAGGUAGAUGGAAUUUCUGGUGUAGGGGUAAGAUCCGUAGAGAUCAGAAGGAAUACCGAUUGCGAAGGCGAUCUACUGGAACAUUAUUGACGCUGAGACGCGAAAGCGUGGGGAGCAAACAGGAUUAGAUACCCCUGUAGUC